GCAGUUCGACGAUGAUGCCCAGCUUGCUGGGUGGAUUAGUGGCGAACGGGUGAGUAAUACGUGAGUAACCUGCCCUUGACUCUGGGAUAAGCCUGGGAAACUGGGUCUAAUACUGGAUACUACCGUUCAUCGCAUGGUGGGUGGUGGAAAGGGUUUUACUGGUUUUGGAUGGGCUCACGGCCUAUCAGCUUGUUGGUGGGGUAAUGGCUCACCAAGGCGACGACGGGUAGCCGGCCUGAGAGGGUGACCGGCCACACUGGGACUGAGACACGGCCCAGACUCCUACGGGAGGCAGCAGUGGGGAAUAUUGCACAAUGGGCGGAAGCCUGAUGCAGCGACGCCGCGUGAGGGAUGACGGCCUUCGGGUUGUAAACCUCUUUCAGUAGGGAAGAAGCGCAAGUGACGGUACCUGCAGAAGAAGCGCCGGCUAACUACGUGCCAGCAGCCGCGGUAAUACGUAGGGCGCAAGCGUUGUCCGGAAUUAUUGGGCGUAAAGAGCUCGUAGGCGGUUUGUCGCGUCUGCUGUGAAAGCCCGGGGCUCAACCCCGGGUCUGCAGUGGGUACGGGCAGACUAGAGUGCAGUAGGGGAGACUGGAAUUCCUGGUGUAGCGGUGAAAUGCGCAGAUAUCAGGAGGAACACCGAUGGCGAAGGCAGGUCUCUGGGCUGUUACUGACGCUGAGGAGCGAAAGCAUGGGGAGCGAACAGGAUUAGAUACCCUGGUAGUCCAUGCCGUAAACGUUGGGCACUAGGUGUGGGGGACAUUCCACGUUUUCCGCGCCGUAGCUAACGCAUUAAGUGCCCCGCCUGGGGAGUACGGCCGCAAGGCUAAAACUCAAAGGAAUUGACGGGGGCCCGCACAAGCGGCGGAGCAUGCGGAUUAAUUCGAUGCAACGCGAAGAACCUUACCAAGGCUUGACAUUCACCGGACCGCUCCAGAGAUGGGGUUUCCCUUCGGGGUCGGUGGACAGGUGGUGCAUGGUUGUCGUCAGCUCGUGUCGUGAGAUGUUGGGUUAAGUCCCGCAACGAGCGCAACCCUCGUUCUAUGUUGCCAGCACGUGAUGGUGGGGACUCAUAGGAGACUGCCGGGGUCAACUCGGAGGAAGGUGGGGAUGACGUCAAAUCAUCAUGCCCCUUAUGUCUUGGGCUUCACGCAUGCUACAAUGGCCGGUACAAAGGGUUGCGAUACUGUGAGGUGGAGCUAAUCCCAAAAAGCCGGUCUCAGUUCGGAUUGAGGUCUGCAACUCGACCUCAUGAAGUCGGAGUCGCUAGUAAUCGCAGAUCAGCAACGCUGCGGUGAAUACGUUCCCGGGCCUUGUACACACCGCCCGUCAAGUCACGAAAGUUGGUAACACCCGAAGCCGGUGGCCUAACCCCUGUGGGAGGGAGCCGUCGAA
This 1395-nucleotide ribosomal RNA is filed under the name Kocuria sp. Act24. RNAcentral's name for it is "bacterial SSU rRNA". It matches the Rfam family "Bacterial small subunit ribosomal RNA". The record is from RNAcentral. Lineage: Bacteria; Bacillati; Actinomycetota; Actinomycetes; Micrococcales; Micrococcaceae.